Non-coding RNA from Odocoileus virginianus texanus, 567 nucleotides. NCBI's taxonomy places the organism in Eukaryota, Metazoa, Chordata, Mammalia, Artiodactyla, Cervidae. The record is from RefSeq and is a predicted model, not a curated record.
CCCAUGAUGUUCUCUGAAGGGGCCAGUGGAGAAGAUUGAGCUAUCUGCCGUGAAUGACAGUGGUGGAUUGAAGUGCUCCAAGUGAGACAUAGUUAUAAGACAGAUCCACUACUAAAUUACAACUGAUGAUAAGUAGCAAAGAAAGAAGAGAUUUACCUCCAUGGCAAAGCAUUUUUGUAACAAUAACUUCAGCAAAAUUUGAAAAUGAACACAGGAUGGAGACAGGAGGACCAAACAGACACAUUCUAAACAGAGAGUUCCUGGUACAAAGAGAGAUCUAGAAAUUUGUCAAGAUUACAGAGCAAGAGAUAGAGAAAUUGUGUGAGGACUUUUAAAUAGCAGUGUUUGUACUCUUGAAACCUGGCCUCAUGGCUCCCAGCCUCACAGCUCCAUCUCCCCAGUCAAAGGAAACACUCCUGCCUCUGUGGGUUCCCCUCCACAAUGUGGUCUUGACAUAAACCUCACAUCUUACUAAGCAUUAGCUCAAAUAAACAAAGAUCUGAUUUUUUAAACUGUUAAAAUUGUUUAACAAUUGUUAAUUGCUUCUUACAUAAAACAUCUGUAAGA